This 279-nucleotide ribosomal RNA is filed under the name uncultured bacterium. Its description in RNAcentral is "partial 16S ribosomal RNA". It matches the Rfam family "Bacterial small subunit ribosomal RNA", at positions 506 to 784 of the family's 1533-position model. The record is from RNAcentral.
UGCCAGCCGCCGCGGUAAUACGAAGGGACCUAGCGUAGUUCGGAAUUACUGGGCUUAAAGAGUUCGUAGGUGGUUGAAAAAGUUGGUGGUGAAAUCCCAGAGCUUAACUCUGGAACUGCCAUCAAAACUUUUCAGCUAGAGUAUGAUAGAGGAAAGCAGAAUUUCUAGUGUAGAGGUGAAAUUCGUAGAUAUUAGAAAGAAUACCAAUUGCGAAGGCAGCUUACUGGACUAACACUGACUCUGAGGUACGAAAGCGUGGGGAGCAAACAGGAUUAGAUC